GAUGAACGCUGGCGGCGUGCCUAAUACAUGCAAGUCGAGCGAACAGACGAGGAGCUUGCUCCUCUGACGUUAGCGGCAGACGGGUGAGUAACACGUGGAUAACCUACCUAUAAGACUGGGAUAACUUCGGGAAACCGGAGCUAAUACCGGAUAACAUGUUGAACCGCAUGGUUCAACAGUGAAAGACGGUUUUGCUGUCACUUAUAGAUGGUUCCGCGCCGCAUUAGCUAGUUGGUAAGGUAACGGCUUACCAAGGCAACGAUGCGUAGCCGACCUGAGAGGGUGAUCGGCAACACUGGAACUGAGACACGGUCCAGACGCCUACGGGAGGCAGCAGUAGGGAAUCUUCCGCAAUGGGCGAAAGCAUGACGGAGCAACGCCGCGUGAGUGAAGAAGGUCUUCGGAUCGUAAAACUCUGUUAUUAGGGAAGAACAAAUGUGUAAGUAACUAUGCACGUCUUGACGGUACCUAAUCAGAAAGCCACGGCUAACUACGUG
Molecule: ribosomal RNA, 497 nt
Filed under: uncultured bacterium
Lineage: Bacteria
Description: partial 16S ribosomal RNA
Rfam family: Bacterial small subunit ribosomal RNA
Source: RNAcentral